CCUACGGGAGGCAGCAGUGGGGAAUAUUGCACAAUGGGCGCAAGCCUGAUGCAGCGACGCCGCGUGAGGGAUGACGGCCUUCGGGUUGUAAACCCUCUUUCAGUAGGGAAGAAGCGAAAGUGACGGUACCUGCAGAAGAAGCGCCGGCUAACUACGUGCCAGCAGCCGCGGUAAUACGUAGGGCGCAAGCGUUAUCCGGAAUUAUUGGGCGUAAAGAGCUCGUAGGCGGUUUGUCGCGUCUGCCGUGAAAGUCCGGGCUCAACUCCGGAUCUGCGGUGGGUACGGGCAGACUAGAGUGAUGUAGGGGAGACUGGAAUUCCUGGUGUAGCGGUGAAAUGCGCAGAUAUCAGGAGGAACACCGAUGGCGAAGGCAGGUCUCUGGGCAUUAACUGACGCUGAGGAGCGAAAGCAUGGGGAGCGAACAGGAUUAGAUACCCUGGUAGUCCAUGCCGUAAACGUUGGGCACUAGGUGUGGGGGACAUUCCACGUUUUCCGCGCCGUAGCUAACGCAUUAAGUGCCCCGCCUGGGGAGUCGGCCGCAGGCUAAACUCAAAGGAAUUGACGGCGNGAGACGNGCGACGACGACGACGAGGGAGAGG
RNAcentral lists this ribosomal RNA (599 nucleotides) under uncultured bacterium. RNAcentral's name for it is "bacterial SSU rRNA". It matches the Rfam family "Bacterial small subunit ribosomal RNA", at positions 338 to 950 of the family's 1533-position model. The record is from RNAcentral.